This 504-nucleotide long non-coding RNA is filed under the name Vigna radiata. Its description in RNAcentral is "long non-coding RNA (VRAD_LNC001486)". The record is from RNAcentral. Lineage: Eukaryota; Viridiplantae; Streptophyta; Magnoliopsida; Fabales; Fabaceae.
CUCAGAUUGCUCAUAUAUCUGUUGUUACAAAAUCUCACCAUGCAAAACCUCAACUUUAACCAAAAACACUUAAGAACUCAUCCUAAAGGCAUUAUUAAUCAUUAUACAUUGUACUUUUCUCAUUUGACAGCUUAAGCAAGUCCUAAAUAGUCUCCUAAUACAAUCCCAACUGUUAAACACAAUCCCCACUGUUUACCUCAAAAUUUCACUACUUAAAACCUUAUUUUUACACUAAAUAUACCUCCAACUUCAACAUUGAUCCCCUUACUUGUUUCAUGCCAGAUUUUCUUCAAUCUAACACUUUUAAUAAGUUUGAAAUGAUCUCAUAACAGCACUCAACCAAUUACUUCAUCACUUUAACCUCUAUCUUUACACCCAUCUAAACCCCUAUUUUUUACCUUAGAACCUAAGCAAAAGAUACUUCUUUAAUUCAACCACUUUGCAUUCAAUUUUCAAACAUUAGGACAACUUCAUUACAAUAAUCAAUACAGUUUCACACAUCAC